AGCAGCCGCGGUAAUUCCAGCUCCAAUAGCGUAUAUUUAAGUUGUUGCAGUUAAAAGCUGUAGUUGGACCUUGGGUUGGGUCGAUCGGUCCGCCUCUGGUGUGCACCGGUCGGCUCGUCCUUCUGCCGGCGAUGCGCUCCUGGUCUUAAUUGGAUGCCGCGGGGAACCAGGACCUUUCUUUGAAAAAAUUAGAGUGUUUAAAGCAGGCAUUUUUGCUUGAAUACAUUAGCAUGGAAAAUAAAAUAGGACGGCAUGGUUCUAUUUUGUUGGUUUCU
RNAcentral lists this ribosomal RNA (275 nucleotides) under uncultured Glomeromycotina. RNAcentral's name for it is "partial small subunit ribosomal RNA". It matches the Rfam family "Eukaryotic small subunit ribosomal RNA", at positions 569 to 852 of the family's 1831-position model. Lineage: Eukaryota; Fungi; Glomeromycota. The record is from RNAcentral.